GAUGAACGCUAGCGGCAGGCCUAACACAUGCAAGUCGAGGGAGAAGCCCUUUCGGGGGCAGAAACCGGCGCACGGGUGCGUAACGCGUAUGCAACCUACCUUUCACAGGGGGAUAGCCCGAAGAAAUUUGGAUUAAUACCCCAUAAUAUUAUUGGAUGGCAUCAUUUGAUAAUUAAAACUGCGGUGGUGAAAGAUGGGCAUGCGUCCUAUUAGCUAGUUGGAGUGGUAACGGCACCCCAAGGCUACGAUAGGUAGGGGUCCUGAGAGGGAGAUCCCCCACACUGGUACUGAGACAGGGACCAGACUCCUACGGGAGGCAGCAGUGAGGAAUAUUGGUCAAUGGUCGGAAGACUGAACCAGCCAUGCCGCGUGCAGGAAGAAUGCCUUAUGGGUUGUAAACUGCCUUUAUAUGGGAAGAAUAAGGUGUACGUGUACAUUGAUGACGGUACCAUAUGAAUAAGCAUCGGCUAACUCCGUG
This 478-nucleotide ribosomal RNA is filed under the name uncultured bacterium. Its description in RNAcentral is "partial 16S ribosomal RNA". It matches the Rfam family "Bacterial small subunit ribosomal RNA", at positions 28 to 507 of the family's 1533-position model. The record is from RNAcentral.